This 524-nucleotide ribosomal RNA is filed under the name uncultured bacterium. RNAcentral's name for it is "partial 16S ribosomal RNA". It matches the Rfam family "Bacterial small subunit ribosomal RNA", at positions 28 to 523 of the family's 1533-position model. The record is from RNAcentral.
GACGAACGCUGGCGGCGUGCCAAAUACAUGCAAGUCGAGCGCAGGAAACUGACGGAACUCUUCGGAGGGAAGGCAGUGGAAUGAGCGGCGGACGGGUGAGUAACACGUAAGGAACCUGCCUCAAGGAUUGGGAUAACUCCGAGAAAUCGGAGCUAAUACCGGAUAGUUCAACGGACCGCAUGGUCCGCUGAUGAAAGGCGCUUCGGCGUCACCUUGAGAUGGCCUUGCGGUGCAUUAGCUAGUUGGUGGGGUAACGGCCCACCAAGGCGACGAUGCAUACCCGACCUGAGAGGGUGAUCGGCCACACUGGGACUGAGACACGGCCCAGACUCCUACGGGAGGCAGCAGUAGGGAAUCUUCCACAAUGGACGAAAGUCUGAUGGAGCAACGCCGCGUGAGUGAUGAAGGUUUUCGGAUCGUAAAACUCUGUUGUAAGGGAAGAACACGUACGAGAGGAAAUGCUCGUACCUUGACGGUACCUUACGAGAAAGCCACGGCUAACUACGUGCCAGCCGCCGCCGUAA